Molecule: ribosomal RNA, 253 nt
Filed under: uncultured bacterium
Lineage: Bacteria
Description: partial 16S ribosomal RNA
Rfam family: Bacterial small subunit ribosomal RNA
Source: RNAcentral
UACGUAGGGGGCAAGCGUUGUCCGGAAUUAUUGGGCGUAAAGAGCGUGUAGGCGGCCAGAUAAGUCCGCUGUGAAAUCUCGAGGCUCAACUUCGAGCUGUCGGUGGAAACUAUUUGGCUAGAGUCCGGAAGAGGAGAAUGGAAUUCCUGGUGUAGCGGUGAAAUGCGCAGAUAUCAGGAAGAACACCCGUGGCGAAGGCGGUUCUCUGGGACGGUACUGACGCUGAGACGCGAAAGCGUGGGGAGCGAACAGG